AUUGCUUAGUUCAUGAGAUGGGUAACCAUGGAAAGAGUAGCAUGUGGGGCAAUGCAGGCUAUCUAGUACCUGCAUAAAUUUUCUUAGAAAAGAUGGAGACAUUAGACCGUCAUUAAAAGGAGAUGUUUCCAGAAAUCUAGAGGAAACGUGGAGGUCUUUUUGAGAUUUUUUUUUUCCUUCCCCUUUCUUCAAGCCAUGAAGCAAUAUCAUCUCCAUCUUCGAAU
Molecule: unclassified non-coding RNA, 224 nt
Filed under: Hevea brasiliensis (rubber tree)
Lineage: Eukaryota; Viridiplantae; Streptophyta; Magnoliopsida; Malpighiales; Euphorbiaceae
Source: RNAcentral